This 800-nucleotide ribosomal RNA is filed under the name Brachybacterium sp. JSM 073116. RNAcentral describes it as "bacterial SSU rRNA". It matches the Rfam family "Bacterial small subunit ribosomal RNA", at positions 47 to 856 of the family's 1533-position model. The record is from RNAcentral. Lineage: Bacteria; Bacillati; Actinomycetota; Actinomycetes; Micrococcales; Dermabacteraceae.
CUUAACACAUGCAAGUCGAACGAUGACGGUGGUGCUUGCACCGCCUGAUUAGUGGCGAACGGGUGAGUAACACGUGAGUAACCUGCCCUCCACUUCGGGAUAACCUCGGGAAAUCGUGGCUAAUACCGGAUAUGAGCACUCAUCGCAUGGUGGGUGUUGGAAAGAUUUAUCGGUGGGGGAUGGACUCGCGGCCUAUCAGUUUGUUGGUGAGGUGAUGGCUCACCAAGACGAUGACGGGUAGCCGGCCUGAGAGGGCGACCGGCCACACUGGGACUGAGACACGGCCCAGACUCCUACGGGAGGCAGCAGUGGGGAAUAUUGCACAAUGGGCGAAAGCCUGAUGCAGCGACGCCGCGUGGGGGAUGACGGCCUUCGGGUUGUAAACCCCUUUCAGUAGGGAAGAAGCGAGAGUGACGGUACCUGCAGAAGAAGCGCCGGCUAACUACGUGCCAGCAGCCGCGGUAAUACGUAGGGCGCAAGCGUUGUCCGGAAUUAUUGGGCGUAAAGAGCUUGUAGGUGGCUUGUCGCGUCUGCCGUGAAAACCCGAGGCUCAACCUCGGGCGUGCGGUGGGUACGGGCAGGCUAGAGUGUGGUAGGGGAGACUGGAACUCCUGGUGUAGCGGUGAAAUGCGCAGAUAUCAGGAAGAACACCGAUGGCGAAGGCAGGUCUCUGGGCCAUUACUGACACUGAGAAGCGAAAGCAUGGGUAGCGAACAGGAUUAGAUACCCUGGUAGUCCAUGCCGUAAACGUUGGGCACUAGGUGUGGGGGACAUUCCACGUUUUCCGCGCCGUAGCUAAC